AUGAAAUGCAAACGGGAAUCAUUAAAUCUAAAUGAGUUGGAGGAGAGCGACUGUAUGUCGCUUUUCAAUAAUUAUGCAUUCCUCGGUGUGAACCCUGAUGAUUAUAGAAACCUGCAGCUAAUCGGUGAGCAGAUAGUGAAGAAACUUGGAGGAAGCCCAUUGGCCAUAGAAGUCAUAGGAGGAAUGCUGAACUACUGCAUGGAGUAUGAAUAUUGGAAGAAAAUCCUGGAAGAAGACAAGAUGAAAUUACAAGAAGGAAAAGACAACAUCAUGGCAGUUUUAAGAUUAAGCUACGAUCACUUACCCACAGACUUACAACUCUGCUUUAGAUAUUGCAGUUUAUUUCCGCAGGAUUAUACGUUUAAGAGAAAAAAGUUGGUCAAUAUGUGGAUAGGUUCGGGUCUGAUUCCGAAAUCUAUUUGUGGCGGGCAAAGGCCAGAGGAUAAGGGAAAGGAGUAUUUAAAUCUUCUGACAAGAAAAUCAUUCUUUACUUGCACAACCUAUAAUAAUGGGUCGAAAAUUACUAAACAAUAUUUUAUGCACGAUCUACUGCAUGACCUAGCACAAUCAGUUUCUCGAGGAGAAUGCAUCAGAAUAGGAAGGGAUGAUGCAAGAAUUACUAUUCCACUGACUGUUCGACAUUUAUCUGUUGAAAAACUCAAUGUUCCUUCCAUUAGAGAGAUCUCCGUUCUUAAGAACGUGCGCACUCUAAUUGCUUCUGUUAAAGAGGAUAAUAUACCUGAAUUUAUCGAGGUUAUAAAAGGGUUUGAAAAGUUACGCCUAUUGAGCUUAUGCAACAAUUUUGAUUUUAGUAAAUCACCUGGUGCAUUUGAUAGCUUGAUACACCUCCGCUACCUAUCACUUCCACAACAGAUCGUUGAGAACAGAAGUAUUGGAUAUGAUGGCUUGACCAACUUGGUCAAUUUGCGUUCAUUUGAUGUUUCCAAUCAUGUGAUAAGAAAUAUUCCUUAUAUUAGCAAAUUACCCUUCAUCCACAAAUUACAGGAGUUUAUUGUCCGAGAGGAGAAUGGUUACAAAAUCAGUGAACUGAAGAACCUCAAGGACCUUCGUCACCUGCGUAUUGAUGAACUUGAAAAUGUGAGGAGUUCUGAAGAAGCCAUUGAGGCCAAUUUAAAUGGGAAAGAAUGUCUCAAAUCAUUGUCGUUGGACUGGUCUGUAGAUCGCUCUAAUUGCACAGAGGCGGAUGAGCAGCUCCUCGAUAACCUCUGCCCUCAUAUCAAUCUCAAUAAACUGUGCAUUGCACGAUACCAAGGUGCUAAAUCUCCAUGUUGGAUGACAGGUCUGUCGCUCAUCAAUUUGACAUCUAUCGAACUGAGGUUCUGUCAACAAUGGGAGCACCUCCCCCCUCUCGGGCAGUAUUCUUCGCUCCAAUCUCUAUGCUUGAUGGGACUGUAUGCAAUAAAGCAAAUAGAUUGUUCAUUCUUCGGAAGCAACAGCAGAUGUGCCUUUCCAUCAUUGAAGAAGUUACAGUUAUGGUACAUGCGUAACUUGGAGGAGUGGAUUGGAAUUGAUGAUAAGUGCAUGUUUCCUCAACUUCAUUCUAUGAGUAUUAUUGACUGCCCUAAUUUGAGGGAAAUUCCUACUCUGCCUUAUAGUCUAAGACAAUUGCUUAUUUCAAAGGUCGGAUUGACUGCUCUUCCAACAAUAAAUCAGGAUUACGCAAACAACAAUGUAAGUGCUUUAUUUUAUAAACUUCAAAUUUCUCCUGAGGUUUAGAUUAUUUUCACUUGCCCCCCUUACUUCAAAAGGUAUCACUUUGCCCCCUUCCCCCCGUGGUUUAGCCUAUUUUUAUUUUUGUCUAUCUCGUGGUUUAAAAAGUUACACUUUGCCUCCUUUGGUUUAGUUCAUUUUUCACUUUGCUAUCCUAUAAUUUUUUUAAAACAUUUUUAAUAUGCCACUCUAUUUUAUAUAGAAUUUUUUUUGAUGAAAUACAAAUUAAACAACAGGAGGGCGAAGUAAAACUUUUUGAACCGCAAGGUGGCAAGGUGAAAAUGAGUUAAAUCACACGGUAGCAAUUUGAAGUUUGCCCUUAUAUCAAAACACCAAUUCGCAUUUGCAUAGCUGUGGUUGCUCGGACUUAACAUAUCUUUUACAUCUUUUCUUUCUUGCAGCAGCAAGAACAUUUUCAGGCUCUUGAAAGUUUAGUCAUCGGAGAAUGUGAGAAGCUCGAAUAUUUUCCAACAGAUUUUUUUGGGAAAUUCAAUGCCAUAAUAUCCCUGUGCAUAGGAGAUUGCCCGAAGUUGACAAAACGUGGGAUCUCGGACAUCCAAGUGCCCUCUGUACUCGGUGUUCUCAGUAUUGGGUCAUGUGGCGAGCUUGAGGCGCCACUGCUGUGGUCAGCGAAUUUAACCUCUCUUACUCGGUUGGAAUUAGUCGAUUGUGCAAGGAUAGUAUCCCUUCCCCCAGCACAAGUGUGUGCACAAUGGACGAUGCUUUACCUCUUAUCCAUACACAACUGCAAAGAACUGUCAUCAUUUGGUGGGAUACAAGCUCUCGUAUCCCUCCGUUCUUUAGCAAUUAGCGGGUGCGACAAGCUAAUUGAAGUUGCCCUGCUGCAGCAACCUCCGUUCCCAAACGAUCUCGGCCAAAAAAAGAAUGCAGUGGACUGCCUUUUGAAGCUUGAUUAUCUAUCAAUUGACCACCACGCUCUCCUGCUCUUGGAGCCAUUGAGAAGUCUCUCCUCCAUCAGCAAUUUGACUAUCUCUGAUGCUUCGCGACUCACCUCCUUACCUGAGGGAUGGCUACAAAAUCACACCACCCUCAAAGAGUUACACAUAUGGAAUGCACGCUCCCUUCUGUCCCUACCCCUCAGCAUGAAAAAACUGUGCUCCCUCGACGUUUUGGUUGUGGAAGAUGCUAAUCUCAUCCAGUCACUUCCAGAUCUGCCUACUUCACUGUAUUCUCUAAAGAUCACCGGGUGUCACCCCGUGUUGAAGGAGCAAUGCCAAGAGAAUAUAGGCCCCGAUUGGCCCAAGAUUGCCCACAUCCCUGAUGUGAGGAUUGAAUAGCAUUUGCGGAGGUGAUGAUGAUGCAUAUAUAUUGCAUGCUUACUUUACCACCCUUCAUCACCCAUGCUACUCUCUGCAAUUAAUGCAAUUCAUUUCGGUGUUCUUCGGUCGUAACAAGUUUUAUCUCAUUUGUUACAGGACUACUACUUGGCCUUUCUGGACAAUGCAGGAGCAGCCAGGUUCGUUUUUAAUAAUUAGCAUGCAUCCUAAAUAGAAUUUUUUUUUAUAUUUUGUACCCUUAAUUAUUUUAAUACGAUUUGGAUACAUAAUAAGGGAACAUAUAUAGCGCUAAUUGCCCCUCAUAAUUAAUUAAUACAUGGUGCUCGGUGGUCGGAUUGGUCGACUUGUAAGAUAAACGGUGUAAUGAAUACAGUCGUAUGGCAAUUGCAUGCUUUGUAAAGUAAAUAGGACUAGUUCUCCGGUGAUGAGUUACAACUUAAGAGACGACGCGCGACAAAAGCGUUCGAGUAAUUGUAUAAGACUCCUAUGUAUAUAUUUCUCUCAAUUCUUUCAGGAAUAUAACAAGAUUCUAUUUUGGCAGUGCAGGAACAUAUACAGUAUUUAGGCUUAGGACUCCCUGUGCCUUAAUCUUACUGCAUGCAUUGCAUUUUUUUUUCUUUUUUUCUAUUGCCAAAUUAAUGUAAAAUCUUUAUGGAUGAAAUUAUCCUAAAAAUAAUUAAUUUACUGUUUGAUUCCUGCACAAGUAGCAAAUCUCAUAGCCUGGUGAUCGAGCUUGUUUGGUUUUGUCUACUAUCUGAUGAUCAAAGUUGUUGAGCCUAGUUUAAACAUUGGUUUAGAAUGUGUUUCAAACCUUUUUUUUUCUUUUUUCUUUCAGCAGCAUAAUUAGUACCCUGAUUAAUUAAGUUUGUGAGCUUAAUUUCAGUGGUAUAAAUUAUAUUCAAAUUUUGUUAAAGUUUAUAUGUUUUUUUAAUGCAGGUUGUAUCAAUUUGGGAGUAAAUUUAGUAGAUGCUCUGUCAAUAAGGCUCGGCUGACUCGUUGUAAAAGGAAUAUGAGAGCAAAACUGCAACAGCACACAUGAACUUGCAACCACAUCCUGCAGUUUCAUAUAUACUUUUACUAUCUUUGCACUUUCUAAACAAACUUAAGAUUUAUUAAAGACUGAAGUGUUACUUCUAAUAUUCUAUGUUUGGUUGUGUAAGAACGAAUUAAAGACUCCAUCGAUUUCUAUUUUCUAUUUUCUAUUUUCUUUAUAUUCUAGGUGGUGUAUGAAUUAAAAAGACUCCUCUUAUUAUCGUCUAUCGAUUUCGUCCUUGUUACGAAGGAUGGUUAAAGUUUUACUGCUUAAUUUGUGUACAUAUUCUCUCCUAUUUUUCUUGUUGCAGGAUUGGAAUAAGACUACUACAUGUACAUAGCAGCCUAUAUAUAUAAUGUGAUUGGUGUCUUUAGUGUAGCUUAAUUUUACUGGUUAUUCUGUUUUACUGCUUAAUUAAUCUUCCCUAGGAGACCAAUUAACUAGCAAGAUAAAGAAUAUUUUCAGGUUAAGUUGUGGGACUAAUCUGAUUUCUUAGUAGAGAAGUAUAAUUAAUUACAUUACUAAUGGCAAGAUAGCAGGACAUCACUUUAUUUGCUGCUUAAAGUGAUUGAUUGCAUUUGCUUAAUUUAAGGAAAAUAACGAGCUUCGGAUCAGAAUUUUGACGCUGCGGGAUCAUUUUCGGCAGUUGUCGUUCAUGUUCAUGUUCAGUUCAGUCUUCAAUCUGUAUAAGUUUGGGCUUGAUUCUGAUUUUCCGAGCUUCAGAUCAGAAUUUUGAUGAUGUGGGACCAUUUCAGCAGUUGUUGUGAUCAUAUUCAGUUCAAUUUUCAAUCUGUAUAAAUUUAGUUUGAUUCUAAUUUUUCCCUUCUUUUUUUUUUUUUUUUUUUUUUGGUUUACACCAUCUUAACUUCAUUUUUUUUUUUGGGAGUUAUUUUAGCUUGUUGAAGUGAAAAUUUUGUUUAGUUUAAUGGCUCUAUUAGCUGUAGGUUGAUUCAGUUUUAUUUGCUAUAAUAAGAUGAUUAAAACCAUUCAGUGCUAAUUUUUUUUUGUUAUAAUUUAAUAUUUCAAUAAAAUUAUUUUUGGUAGUUUUAUGUGUAACCAAAUCACCGCGCAUUUUCUGCUACGGGAAACAAUUGCCUGUACCCAGUGUACACAUGCACUCUAUGCACCGCACCUAUGUGUUGUGUGAUACUACAUUUGAAACAUUAUGAAUUUUGAAAAGGAUAAACUUUAAAUUGCCUAACUUAUUUUUAUUUUUCCAUCCAAUGGUUCAAAAAGUUACACUUAACUAUUCUACGGUUUAGCGCAUUUUUCAUUUUGUCGUCCUAUAAUUUUUUUUACUUUGCCACGUCAUUGGACAUAAAAUUUUGGGCUAAUUGCAUACAACUCCCUGUAAACAUAUUGAAUAACAGAUGUAUUCCUAUAAAGUUUAACUUUUUUAUUUUCAUUCCUGUAAAAAAGUCCAACCGUUUUUAAAUAUAUCCCCACUGUUAGGAUCCGUUAAAAAAAAAUAUAGUUAACCAUGAGUAAAAUAUUUAACCAUGAUUAGUGGAUGAGUUAAAUUGAUAUUUUUACUUUUCUUAUAUUAUUGGAUAAAAUAUUUUUUGGGAGGGCAUUUCUGUAUAAUGAAUUUUUGGAGGGAUAUAUUCGUAAGGGUAAAAAUAUUAUUUUUCUUAUUUUCUGUUAAAAUAAAUAAAAAAUACUCUAACGGUAACAAACUACAGGGGCAAAUAUGAAUAUUACUGGACUUUUGCCGAGCUAAAAAUAAAAAGUUAAACUUUGUAGUAAUAUAUUUGCUAUUCAAUAUAGGAGAAAAGAGUGUCAAUUUUUUUGAACGACAAAAGUGCAAAAGUAAAAAUAUAUUUGUUAACAGGGAAUUCAAUUUAUACAGACCAAUUCAAAUUUUUUUUUUUUUUUUUAAUUUUAAUAGCAUAGACCAUGUACAAUACUACAAGGUGGGACAAUAAUUAAUUCCCUUAUGCAAUAUUUCCAACGUAGUUUUUGUUAUGUAUAACUUUAAAAUCCGAGCCCAAUCAAUAUAUGUGAUACUUAGAACAAGUAAAGGGACUAAAUAUGAAAAAGGAUAUAUACUCAAAACCACCCCUGUGGUUUCGCGACCUUGCUCAUUUAGUACCAUGAUGAUUUAAGGUGAAUACAAUUUGCCUCCCUAUGCUUUCGUUUUUUUUGCUUUUUUAUUUAUCAAUUUUAAUCAAUUUUUUCAUUAAAUCAGUUACAAAUUAAAAAUUAAAGUGUAAUUAAAGUAAAUAAUUCAAAUAAAUCUAUACUUAGAUCGCUGAAGUUUUUGCUAUUAUAUUUCAACAAAUAUCAUUAAGAAAAAAGCCGCCGAAAAGAUAAAAAAAGAACCACAGGAGGGCAUUGAUAUGACACUUUAAACCACUGAGAUAUAAAGUGAGAAGUAGGCGAAACCACAGGGGUUUCUUUGAAUUUUUCCUAAAAAAAAAAUCAAAUUUGGGGAAAAACUUAAUUAACUAACAUAAUUAAUAAUAAAAAAAAAUCAAUAAUUGUCUAUAAUCGGCCGUAAAGCUACUAUUUAAAUUUUUAGAGUAAUACAUGAAUAUUUUUGGCUAUAAACUUGUUCGUCUUUCUGUGCACUUCUUCUACACUAAUUUCAAAAAUUUUCAUUUUGGUCCUCAAAGAUUUCAAGUUUGUAUACACUCUGGUUCAACCUAGCUUUCCGUCAACUUUCCUCUCUAUUCUUAAAUUCAUACACUAGAUAUACCAGAAUACGUGAUUAAAAAUACUGAAAAUAUAUUAAAAAUUAUUUUUUCUCUCCAGAAUGAGUAACGGUAGUUUUGUCAUUUCACCUAGUUCGUUAACGCCGGAACUGUCUUAAAAAAAAUCUGAAAUUUUAAGCAGACAAAAUAUAAAUCUUUUAAAAUCAAAAAAAUAAAAAAUAAUUAUUUACAGAAUUUUUUUUUUGUAUUUUAAUAUAAAUUUUAAUAUUAAAAUCUCUACCAAGGACUUUUAGAAAUGCCGUGUAUAUGAUGUAGUUAUAUGCAAUAAUUGAGUUUGGUUGGUAGUUACGGAAGGGGGACAAAUUUCUUGCACUUUGACUUGUAUAAGUCUUCUCUAUGAAACUUCAAUUUCAUUUCCUCUCUUUUUCUCAUAAACAUUCGAGAAACUACUGCCCCCAUUUUAUAUAUCUUUGCUACGUAUUAUAUACCUUGUUAAAAAUUGCGAAACAACCAGCUAUCUCUAUUAAAAGCUUAAAUUGUUACAUAAUGAUAUUUUUUUUAAUAAUUAUGUUCAGCAUUCCUCCGUAUAGUUGGGCUUGAAUCUUUUUUUAUAUGCUCUAAUGCUCCCGCCUUGAAGUACGUACGUUGAGUUAAAUAAGUGGAAAUUACGAGGCAAGGGUCCGGUGGGAUUCAAAUUUGGAAUCUCUCAUUCUGAUAUUAUGUUAAAUAAUAUGAAGCAAUCAUUAUUCUUCGAAAGCUUAAGUCAUUGGAAAAUGUUGUUAUAUUUGGGCUUAAAGCUUUUUAAGGAGUUCUAGGUGUGGAUUUGAUUUAAAUAGAAAAAGAUUAAGGGCUUGUUUGGAAGCCGAAAUAAAAUAUUUAAGAAUAAUUUAUUCGGCAUGAAAAUUUUUAGUGUCAUUAUAAAAAAAAAGGUAAUAGCAUAACAUAUUUCAAAUACGAAAUGAUUUAUUUAUCCUAAAAAAUAACUCGAAGGCUAAAUGUACGUAGUACCCAAUUUUAAACAUUUAAUCACAUUCUCCAUCCACCAGAUGUAUAAACUUAUUAAGUAUAUCACGAAGACAUACUAAAUAACAAAUUUAUGUAUCCGGAUAGGGUCUAAACAAAUAAUGGGAAAAAAAAAAAAAAGUUAGAAGAAAAGUGUGCGGAGAAAUGAUUCUAUAUUUUUCGCUGCAAAAAUUAUAUAUGAUAAUUUCUUUUUUACAGAUAUAAAUCAAAUGUUUUUUUCAUCAUAUUUUCUCAAGGUACAUAUCACUCAAUCCCGACAAAGUCUAAAAUAUCUAGAGAUGUGGUGUUUUUUCCAAAACGUGCCACUUUUUUCUACAGCUUGCAUUAAUUAUAUCUCCUCCUAAAUUAAUCCUUCUUCUUUGCACGCUCAACUUCCUGAUUCUCAUUUGCCUGAGUAGUGGUGAAGUAGUAGGAGUUAGAGCUAUUCGGAGGAUUAUGGCUUUACCUUUCAUAGCCGAAUCGGCGGCGUCGGCAAUCAUUGAGAAUCUCGUUAGCACUUGCUCAUCCUACCUCGAGGCAUGCCCGGCAGCCUGCGGCAUGCAAGACGAGCUCGAAAGGCUGCAGCACACACUUCCGCAGGUCCAGGCAGUCUUGACUGCGGUCGAGGGGGGUGCACCGGUCAUGGUGCAGAACAAGGCGCUGGAAACGUGGCUGUGGCAGCUCAGAGACGCCGUGGAGAAUGCGGAGGACGUGCUCGACGAGCUGGAGUACUACGAGUUACAGAAGACUAUACAAGAUCGAGAUGACAAGGUGCGUGGUAUUCUAUCUAACUGCAAGAGAAAGUUUGAUAGUUUCGUUAAUCGUAUAUUUAGCGAUGACACACUGAAGCGGUUGAGGGAGGCCGUCAAGGGGUUGGAUCGGGUCAUUGCUGGUAUGGGGCCACUCCUUCAUCUUGUUACUGGGUUAUAUGGCCCUCGCGUUAAGUGUCAGAAACUCGAGGAAAUUAAGAAUGCUCGCGAGACUAGCUCCUUGCUAACCGAAAGUGAGGUGCUCGGACGAGACGAGGAGAGGGACCUGAUAGUUGAAUGGCUGAUCGAACCGGGAGAUGCCGAUGUCAAUGUCUCCACUUUUACAAUUGUUGGUAUGGGCGGGAUCGGGAAGACCACUCUUGCUCAAUUGGUCUAUCGCAACGAAAGAGUGCAAGAGUACUUCGACCCGAUUGUGUGGGUUUGCAUUUCUCAGGAGUUCAAUGUAACUGUGAUAACAAAAAAGAUUUUAGAAUGUGUAAGUAGGGAGCAUUUUGGCGACAACAGUCUACAUGCACUCCAUGAGAAUCUUAAACAAAAACUAACGUCGAAGAGGUUUUUGCUCAUACUGGAUGAUGUUUGGAACGAUGAUAAAAUGAUGGCGUGGGAGAAAUUGGUUGCUCCUUUGAAAUUCGGACAGAGAGGAAGCAAGAUUCUGUUGACAACUCGGAUGCGUUCGGUUGCAGAUAUGGCGGCAAAAGUGAUGAAAUGCAAACAGGAAUCAUUAAAUCUAAAUAAGUUGGAGGAGAGCGACUAUAUGUUGCUUUUCAAUAAGCAUGCAUUCCUCGGUGUGAAUCCUGAUGAUUAUAAAAACUUGCAACUGAUUGGCGAACAGAUAGCGAAGAAACUUGGAGGAUGCCCAUUGGCCAUAAAGGUCAUGGGAGGAAUGCUGAACUCCUGCAUGGACUAUGAAUAUUGGAAGAAAAUCCUGGAAAAAGACAA
Molecule: long non-coding RNA, 9427 nt
Filed under: Ananas comosus (pineapple)
Lineage: Eukaryota; Viridiplantae; Streptophyta; Magnoliopsida; Poales; Bromeliaceae
Description: long non-coding RNA (ACOM_LNC035249)
Source: RNAcentral